Molecule: ribosomal RNA, 478 nt
Filed under: uncultured Planctomycetales bacterium
Lineage: Bacteria; Pseudomonadati; Planctomycetota; Planctomycetia; Planctomycetales
Description: bacterial SSU rRNA
Rfam family: Bacterial small subunit ribosomal RNA
Source: RNAcentral
UUUCGCAAUGCCCGAAAGGGUGACGAAGCGACGCCGCGUGCGGGAAGAAGGCCUUCGGGUUGUAAACCGCUGUCGGGAGUUAAGAAAUGCAAGGGUAUUAAUAGUAUCCUUGUUUGACUAGGGCUCCGGAGGAAGCCACGGCUAACUCUGUGCCAGCAGCCGCGGUAAUACAGAGGCGGCAAGCGUUGUUCGGAAUUAUUGGGCGUAAAGAGCACGUAGGCGGCUAUGUAAGUCGGUUGUGAAAGCCUUCCGCUCAACGGGAGAACAGCAUCCGAUACUGCAUGGCUUGAGUGCGGGAGGGGAGAGUGGAACUUCUGGUGGAGCGGUGAAAUGCGUAGAUAUCAGAAGGAACGCCGGCGGCGAAAGCGGCUCUCUGGCCCAUAACUGACGCUGAGUGUGCGAAAGCUAGGGGAGCAAACGGGAUUAGAUACCCCGGUAGUCCUAGCCGUAAACGAUGGGCACUAAGUAGAGGGGUUUU